UACAGAGGGUGCAAGCGUUGUUCGGAAUUAUUGGGCGUAAAGGGCGCGUAGGCGGUGCGGUAAGUCUGUAGUGAAAUCUCUGGGCUCAACUCAGAGUCUGCUGCAGAAACUGCCGUGCUUGAGUGUGGGAGAGGUGAGUGGAAUUCCACGUGUAGCAGUGAAAUGCGUAGAGAUGUGGAGGAACACCGGAUGGCGAAGGCGCCCCCUGGGUCAAGAUUGACGCUCAUGCACGAAAAGCGUGGGGAGCAAACAGG
RNAcentral lists this ribosomal RNA (254 nucleotides) under uncultured bacterium. Its description in RNAcentral is "partial 16S ribosomal RNA". It matches the Rfam family "Bacterial small subunit ribosomal RNA", at positions 524 to 776 of the family's 1533-position model. The record is from RNAcentral.